This 65-nucleotide transfer RNA is filed under the name Dipodomys ordii (Ord's kangaroo rat). It matches the Rfam family "tRNA". Rfam says of the family: Transfer RNA (tRNA) molecules are approximately 80 nucleotides in length. Their secondary structure includes four short double-helical elements and three loops (D, anti-codon, and T loops). Lineage: Eukaryota; Metazoa; Chordata; Mammalia; Rodentia; Heteromyidae. The record is from Rfam by way of RNAcentral.
GGUGGCUCAGUACUAGAGCACUUGCCUUGCAUGCAUGAGACCCUGGGUUCGAUUCCUCAGCACCA